This 56-nucleotide transfer RNA is filed under the name Amphimerus sp. JM-2019. Its description in RNAcentral is "tRNA-Cys". Lineage: Eukaryota; Metazoa; Platyhelminthes; Trematoda; Opisthorchiida; Opisthorchiidae. The record is from RNAcentral.
GGGUAUGGUGUUUGUGCUCUGCAAAGGCAUAGUAGAUCUUUUUGGAUCCGUAUCUU